GCCCCCGUAGUGUAGAGGCCAAGCAUAGGGCCCUUUCAAGGCCUUGACCCGAGUUCGAAUCUCGGCGGGGGCA
Molecule: transfer RNA, 73 nt
Filed under: Candidatus Pacearchaeota archaeon
Lineage: Archaea; Nanobdellati
Description: tRNA-Glu
Rfam family: tRNA
About the family: Transfer RNA (tRNA) molecules are approximately 80 nucleotides in length.
Source: RNAcentral